CUUGUUUGAGCGGACGGCGUUGUUCCGUGUGUAUGGCGCAUGUCCAUGUUUGUGACGUCGUCUGUGUAUUGUUCCCCGGUCCCCGUAUCGCCCGAGCGUUUUUCUCGUCUACCGCCGACUACACGUAAAGUAGCUGAUUUUGUUGUUUGUGAGUUAUUUUUUAUCAAGAUCCGUUUACAUUGUGCAAGUUUGGACGCCACAUCGUUUCCUUGACGAAAUCGUCUGUUGCAUACAUUGGCCGCGCAUUAGUUGUAUCCGCCAGCAAAAGCGUGCGACGGUUGUUCGCAAAAACUCGAGGCUUGGACGCUGUGCGAUUGCUUCAGUCGGUACCUGGUUACCGUACUGUCUCCCGUUUACCGUGUAUAUCCAUUUGUACGACAGAUUAUUAGAAGUCUUGAAUAUUUGACAUAAUGGGGAAAACAAAAUUAUCAAAAGUGAAGAGUAUCACAAAAAGCAAGAACAAAUCUCAUAAGCAGAAAGUAAAAUCUCACAAGAAAAACAAAAGUAUUUCUAAAAAUAAACAUCGAACUAAACUGCGUUCAGAGAGUCAAGACAAAUUACAAAAACCUGAAGCUCCUCUCACAAACUAUUUGGCUUACAAGUCAAACUAUAUCGCUGUUCGGUAUAUAUUUGAGUGUGGUAUAAAACUUGGUCUAAAACAUAUUACUAUAUGCUCAGCAGCAGUUUACUUCCAUAAGUUUUAUGAAAAUAUUGAUGAAAAUCCAUAUGACAAUUAUUCUAUAGCUAGUGCAACAUUAUACUUGGCUAGUAAAGUACAUGAUGAGACUGUCAAACUUCGAGAUUUGAUAAAUGUGACAUAUCACACAUUACACAGAGAUGCGGCUCCAAUACGAUUAGCUGAAGAUUAUUGGAACUUCCGCGAUUCUAUUGUGCAUGCUGAAAUGUUAACAAUGAGAUUAUUACAGUUUGAUACUACAUUUGAUCAUCCGCACAAUUAUUUUCUACACUACGUUCAGACUGUUCGACCAGUGUUCUAUUCAAAACAUGGCAAGGACAUCAUUGUAUUUAAAAAAGCAUAUGACUUUUUACAUGAUUUUUAUCAUAGCAGUGAUAUACUCAAAUAUAAACCUCAGCAUAUUGCUAUUGCUUGUAUGGAAUUAGCAAUCAAAGUGUACGGCAUUCCAUCGCAGAUAAUUGAUUAUGAAGUACAGCCUUGGUAUCAGCAAUUUUUUGCACAAAAUCGUUCUAUUAUAUUGUCUGCAAAAUAUCUACAAUAUGUGAUCAAAAAUUAAAAGUGUGAAAGAUCAUUGGAAUUUGUGAACAAUUAGUUGAUGUAUAUUUUAGCUGAUUUUUAAAAGGAUACCAAUCAUUUGAAGCGUUGAUUGAAGAUUUGGACAAGGAUACACUUUGGAACAUUAUGGCAGCGAUCAUGGACACAUACGAUCUCGAA
This 1411-nucleotide unclassified non-coding RNA is filed under the name Sipha flava (yellow sugarcane aphid). Its description in RNAcentral is "cyclin-Q, transcript variant X3". The record is from RNAcentral. Lineage: Eukaryota; Metazoa; Arthropoda; Insecta; Hemiptera; Aphididae.